Molecule: ribosomal RNA, 450 nt
Filed under: uncultured bacterium
Lineage: Bacteria
Description: bacterial SSU rRNA
Rfam family: Bacterial small subunit ribosomal RNA
Source: RNAcentral
GUGGGGAAUCUUGGUCAAUGGGCGCAAGCCUGAACCAGCGACGCCGCGUGAGUGAUGAAGGCCUUCGGGUUGUAAAGCUCUGUGGGAAGGGAAGAAAAAGCCAAGUCGAAUAGGCUUGGAAAUUGACGGUACCUUCUUAGCAAGCACCGGCUAACUCUGUGCCAGCAGCCGCGGUAAGACAGAGGGUGCGAACGUUGCUCGGAAUUACUGGGCGUAAAGCGCGUGUAGGCGGAUAGGCAAGUCCGGCGUGAAAGCCCUAGGCUCAACCUAGGAAUUGCACUGGAAACUGCCUGUCUGGAGUACUGGAGAGGAAAGCGGAAUUCCUGGUGUAGAGGUGAAAUUCGUAGAUAUCAGGAGGAACACCGGUGGCGAAGGCGGCUUUCUGGACAGUUACUGACGCUGAGACGCGAAAGCGUGGGGAGCAAACAGGAUUAGAAACCCUAGUAGUCC